GCCGCCACGGAGGGCGGAAAAGUUGUAUGACUUGCGAGUUUUUCGAAGAAAAACUCGGGUAUGAAAUUGCACAAGGAUGUGCAAUUUCAUACCGAC
RNAcentral lists this small RNA (96 nucleotides) under Treponema maltophilum ATCC 51939. Its description in RNAcentral is "TD-2 RNA". It matches the Rfam family "TD-2 RNA". Rfam says of the family: non coding RNA found in Treponema denticola Lineage: Bacteria; Pseudomonadati; Spirochaetota; Spirochaetia; Treponematales; Treponemataceae. The record is from Rfam by way of RNAcentral.